Molecule: ribosomal RNA, 652 nt
Filed under: uncultured beta proteobacterium
Lineage: Bacteria; Pseudomonadati; Pseudomonadota; Betaproteobacteria
Description: bacterial SSU rRNA
Rfam family: Bacterial small subunit ribosomal RNA
Source: RNAcentral
AGAGUUUGAUCAUGGCUCAGAUUGAACGCUGGCGGCAUGCUUUACACAUGCAAGUCGAACGGUAACAGGGAGCUUGCUCCGCUGACGAGUGGCGAACGGGUGAGUAAUGCAUCGGAACGUACCCAGUCGUGGGGGAUAACGUAGCGAAAGUUACGCUAAUACCGCAUACGUCCUGAGGGAGAAAGCGGGGGACCGUAAGGCCUCGCGCGAUUGGAGCGGCCGAUGUCGGAUUAGCUAGUUGGUAGGGUAAAGGCCUACCAAGGCGACGAUCCGUAGCGGGUCUGAGAGGAUGAUCCGCCACACUGGGACUGAGACACGGCCCAGACUCCUACGGGAGGCAGCAGUGGGGAAUUUUGGACAAUGGGCGAAAGCCUGAUCCAGCCAUGCCGCGUGAGUGAAGAAGGCCUUCGGGUUGUAAAGCUCUUUCAGCCGGAAAGAAAUCGCGCAGGAUAAUACUCUGCGUGGAUGACGGUACCGGAAGAAGAAGCACCGGCUAACUACGUGCCAGCAGCCGCGGUAAUACGUAGGGUGCGAGCGUUAAUCGGAAUUACUGGGCGUAAAGCGUGCGCAGGCGGUUAUGUAAGACAGAUGUGAAAUCCCCGGGCUCAACCUGGGAACUGCGUUUGUGACUGCAUAACUAGAGUACGGCAGA